RNAcentral lists this ribosomal RNA (497 nucleotides) under uncultured bacterium. RNAcentral's name for it is "partial 16S ribosomal RNA". It matches the Rfam family "Bacterial small subunit ribosomal RNA", at positions 28 to 507 of the family's 1533-position model. The record is from RNAcentral.
GAUGAACGCUGGCGGCGUGCCUAAUACAUGCAAGUCGAGCGAACGGACGAGAAGCUUGCUUCUCUGAUGUUAGCGGCGGACGGGUGAGUAACACGUGGAUAACCUACCUAUAAGACUGGGAUAACUUCGGGAAACCGGAGCUAAUACCGGAUGAUGUUUUGAACCGCAUGGUUCAAAAGUGAAAGACGGUCUUGCUGUCACUUAUAGAUGGAUCCGCGCUGCAUUAGCUAGUUGGUAAGGUAACGGCUUACCAAGGCAACGAUGCAUAGCCGACCUGAGAGGGUGAUCGGCAACACUGGAACUGAGACACGGUCCAGACUCCUACGGGAGGCAGCAGUAGGGAAUCUUCCGCAAUGGGCGAAAGCCUGACGGAGCAACGCCGCGUGAGUGAUGAAGGUCUUCGGAUCGUAAAACUCUGUUAUUAGGGAAGAACAUAUGUGUAAGUAACUGUGCACAUCUUGACGGUACCUAAUCAGAAAGCCACGGCUAACUACGUG